Molecule: ribosomal RNA, 482 nt
Filed under: uncultured bacterium
Lineage: Bacteria
Description: bacterial SSU rRNA
Rfam family: Bacterial small subunit ribosomal RNA
Source: RNAcentral
AAUCAACGCUGGCGGCGUGCCUCAGACAUGCAAGUCGAACGAUUAAAGCUCUCUUCGGAGAGUGUAUAGAGUGGCGCACGGGUGAGUAACACGUAAGUAAUCUACCUUUGAGUGGGGAAUAACGUCCGGAAACGGACGCUAAUACCGCAUAAUGCAGCGGCAUCGCAAGAUGACAGUUGUUAAAGAUUUAUCGCUUGAAGAGGAGCUUGCGGCAGAUUAGCUAGUUGGUAAGGUAAUGGCUUACCAAGGCUACGAUCUGUAACCGGUCUAAGAGGACGGUCGGUCACACUGACACUGAAUAACGGGUCAGACUCCUACGGGAGGCAGCAGUCGGGAAUUUUGGGCAAUGGGCGAAAGCCUGACCCAGCAACGCCGCGUGAAGGAUGAAGUAUUUCGGUAUGUAAACUUCGAAAGAAUGGGAAGAAUAAAUGACGGUACCAUUUAUAAGGUCCGGCUAACUACGUGCCAGCAGCCGCAGUAAC